GUAGUUACUUGGCAGGGGAGAUGCUGUGGUCACAAACAUUGGUUUUCCUUGGUGUGGCUGACUCACUGCAUCUGGAUGUGCUAACCCCUGCAGUUUCACCAAAUGCGUGAAACUUACUAUAUGAUUUGUGGUAGUGGGGAACUGUGUUCAUGUUCUCCUCU
Molecule: small nuclear RNA, 161 nt
Organism: Arvicanthis niloticus (Nile rat)
Lineage: Eukaryota; Metazoa; Chordata; Mammalia; Rodentia; Muridae
Product: U1 spliceosomal RNA
Source: RefSeq, a predicted model, not a curated record